This 7523-nucleotide long non-coding RNA is filed under the name Sorghum bicolor (sorghum). RNAcentral's name for it is "long non-coding RNA (SBIC_LNC009583)". The record is from RNAcentral. Lineage: Eukaryota; Viridiplantae; Streptophyta; Magnoliopsida; Poales; Poaceae.
CAGAGGCAUCAUCUUCCAGGAAAUUGUUGUAGGUGAUGCGGCUGGCAUCAGAAGCGGGCGCCUUUUUCUUGAACUCAUCAAAGUCGAUGUCGAGGCACGGGACAGAGCGCCAGAGGUGCCUCCACCGUGUGGACAGCACGCAUGUCUGCACCGCCUGCCGGGCUUUCAAGAAGGACAUGAUGGUAUGGACUAUGGAGGAGGCAGUCCGGCAGAGAGCUCAGCCGGUCCGGGCUGCCGGCCGAGGAUCCGCCGACGACACCACUUGCGCGGGCGCGCUUCUUGAAGGCAUCCUCAAGCUCCAUGGCGUGCCCUGCUAGAUCGAUUACUUGAUGAGUCGCGCUACUAGAUCAACGACGGCGGAAGGUUUCGAAAAAUGGCGAAGCAUGUUCGCCGUCGAAGCAUGUUCACGAGGGCCGAAAGCAAACCAGUCAGGGGUACGGGAACGAGGCGAAAGAUGGGGCGGUGGGUAAUGGGGCUUACCGAGCGCCGCAGCCUGAGCCUGCCGUGGGGGUAGGAGCCCCUCCAGCCGGAAGAAACGCAGCCGUGAGAAGGGCGGCGCCGGCGCGACCGAGUGCCUCGACGGCGGAUGGGUGGGGGAAGAGGGGCACUGCGCCGAGCAGUUUUGGGCCGGCCCAAUUGGCAAUUGCUACGACCGAGUUUUAAAUUUUAUUCCAUAAUUUUUUUUCUUCAAAAAAAAAAAGGAAUAGUCUGUUUUUUAAUAACCAGAAAAAAAAAUUAGGCCAUGUCUCAAAGAGCAGGUGACUGAAAUCCAUAAAUCCGUCAGACACCUUGUACAUCCACUCCUCUCUGGUGUCCUUCCUCUUUGCUCCGACAUCUUCUCUCUCUGGUGCUCCUCCUAACCCUCGUACUCACCGGAGAUGAGAGAGUGGGAGGGUACGGGCUCAGGUCGAGCUUGUGGGUAGGUGGGUGAUGCGAAUGUGAAAAAUCAGCUGUCGAAUAAUUCUGAAAAAAUCAACCAUAUAUUUUGGCAGGUCUCUAAAGAAAUCCAUCCGCUCAAAAUUAAUAGACUGUGAUUAAAACCAAACCUUAUGAAUUUUAGCUAAUUUUUAGUUAAAAUUAAUUAUAUGCAUGCAUAGUGUAUAAUUCCUCAAUAAAAGAUAUAUGGUGUUUUAUGUUUGUCCUGAGUUAAGACUCAUUUAAGUUUGAUUACAUAUAGUGUAUCUAAUGCAACUAAUCUAGUGUUGCAAGAAGUUUCUGCAUUUUCUAUAAACUUUUUAAAACUUAGAAUUUUAAUUUAGGAUAAACAAAAACGCCAUACUGAUUUUAGGAAGGAGGCAGUAAUAAUUAUAUUCAUGGAUUCAAUUUCCAAAAAAAUGAUAUGACAUCGAUUUGUUAGCAAUUGUUCACUACUAUAAAACAAUUUGAGGGUUAAGUAUGCAUUUCAAUCACUUUAUUUAUUAAAUCCUAAAAUAUAUCUACUAAAUAACAUAUUCAUUAAAUAAUGUACAAAGGACAAAGUGAGUUAUGCUCAGACUUGACACGGAUGCUCAUAUUUUUCUAAACUUAUUUCAAGAUUUAACGAUAUUAUUUUUUUCUUUCAAGUGGUAGGCAACGUACACAUCAUAUGAUCAAAUGCAUCUACACUGGAUCUCAAAAGAAAUGGUAUAGCAAUGUGAAGAAAAGAAUGCCACAAUAAUCCUGAUUCAAAGGAUUUUCCAACAACCUGGUUUCAGAUUUUGUUUUCUAAUCCUUUAUGUGCCAAUGAACUAACUUAUGUUUUGAUAUAAUAGAGCUAGGCAAGAUGUUUAGUGAGUUUUGCAUUAGAUGGGUCAGAAGGGACGCGAACUCGGUGGCAAACUUCUGUGCAUCCAUAGUUUCGCCUACCGAUCGCUGCCACUUCUGGAUUGAUAAUGUACCAGGCUGGCUAGUGGUUCUAGCAGAUGUCGAUUGUAAUCUGGCCAUGAAUCAAUAGAAAGCUCUAUUACUCAAAAAAAAAGAUAAACUCUUAUUUUAAAUUUUUUUCCAGUUUAGUAAAAGAGCUAUUCUUACUUCAUAAAAAUUAAAAGUUAUCAAAUAUCCUCAGUGACUUGUAAGUUUUCGAGGACAAGAGGAACUUCAUAUAUGCUCCUCAUCAUAUGUUUUUCUCGAGAGAUCAUGGUAAAUUAGAUGUAUGAGUAAAUUAAGAAAAUAAAAAGUGUUGGCAGAGAAAGCGAUAAAGACAAAGAAACUAUUAAAAAGGUUUGGUUGGGUAGAAGUAAUUUUGGGGUUCCAAAUGCAAAAAUAUUAGACUAUUGGAGAAGGAUAAAAUUUAAUUUGCUAUUUUUUUCCACUCCUAUGACAUAUGAACGCAAACCCUACCCCUAUGACUCAAAGAGUAGACCAGAACUCCUCGCUAUGAACAUUGUCUACCACAACAACAUUAAAUCCUGAAAUAUUUUCUUCCACGCAAAGUUAAACCUAGAAUGCUUGAGGUGCUACUAAUACUCUACUCUUGUAACCACUAGGCUACACAUUCAUUCACUCUUGUUUCUUUCUUCUAUUAACUUAUUAGAUCUAAUAGUUUAGUAAGUAAACUAUUUCAAACUUUUAAAUAUGCUCUAACCAUAUAUUCCCUUUUUUCUUUAGAGAUCUCUAAAAUAACCACUACACUCUAAAUUAGUAAACUUCAUCAGAUUUUGGAUACUAACAAAGUUAAAAUUAUAUGCAUGAAUAGUGUGUAAUUCUUUGAUUAAAAAAUACAUGGUGUUUUAUGUUUCCUAAGUUAUCAUUAUUUAAACUUGAUUAAAUUUGGCAUAUUUAAUACAACUAAUUUAUAGUGUUGUAAGUUGUUGCUACGUUUUCUAUAUAUUUGAAUGAAUUUAGAAGACUUUUUAAUUUAGAACAAACAAAACGCCUUACAUGAGGCAAUAAUAGCUAUAUGAAGAAAUUCAAUCUUUCAAAGAUCUUUUGAUAUGACAUUGAUUUGUGUAGGGUCAAGUUAAAAAGUACACCUAUAAAAAACGGAUGAAGGUUUCUUCAAAUAACAUUAUCUUUUCAUAUAAAAGAUGUGCACAUUUUCUCUGUUGAUAUAAAAGAUGCUUAAGUCUCCUACUUUUCACCAUGACUCCAUAUAAGUAUUUGAUUGCAAACAAGAAUACUAAGCUUUUUGUUUUUACUUUUUAGGCAUCACAUCUAUUUCAAUGCUAUAGCAACACGAAGAAAAUGAUGACGCAACUCUCUCUCUCUCUCUCCAAAUCCUUAUGUGCCAGUGAACGGACUUCAUCUUCAGAUCUCUCUUUUUUUUUGCAAAUCCUUAUGUGCCAACGAACUGGCUUUAUCUUUUAUAUUUGCAAAAUUCUUUCUUUUUUUGAAAGCAAGUCAAUAUGGUAAAACAUUGAGAGCACAAAAUUGUUAUGUUUGCAAAACAAUUUUUUGGCCUUGAUAGGACUUCUCCAUCGGCUUCAGAAGCCCUUUUUUUUGUCAAAUAGGAUAAAAUAAAAACGGCUUCACACAGAGAGCCUCAAAACGUGCUGAGACAAAGGAUAGACAAGGAGCGGAGCCAAAAAUAAUAGCUUCACCUUGCCUACGUAUUACUCAAUAAGGAUGAAACCACAAAUUUCCCUUGUUGUGACUCAUGUGCCUACGUGGGAACUCGGCCACAUGGGCGUGGGUGCAGCCACCAGAGCACAUAGCCACCAAGGCGCGUAGGCCAACUGGGGCAGCAGCCACCGGAGGUCUCGAUCGAUGGAGCGCUCGGUCAUCGGGGGCACGUCUCCCUAGACGCACCACCAUCAGGCACGCAUGCAGCCGGGGGCACGUCCACUUGGUAGCGUGGGCCCCUAUAUGCAGGUCAAGGGAGCGGUAGACACUAUUCCUGAGUUUCCUCAUGUUCAUCUGGCAAGCAUGGGAAGAAGACGACAUGUAUAGGGAAAAUAAGGGUAUUUUGAUCUUUUUUAUUCGUUUUGUCUAUUGUAAGGAGCUAUUUUGCCAGGAUAUCAAAGUGGCCUCAGCUCCAUCAGACUGUUUAUGGUGUCGAAGCAAAAAAAAAAAAGCUUCGCUGAUAAAGUAGAUCCAUGUCAAACGGGGUUUUUAUGCUAACGAUUUGUACUCUGUUUGGAGUGGUGGCCUUUUUGGGUGUAAUACGGCAUAGGACUGUGUACGACUUUUUAUAUGAGUAUAAAAAGUAGCACUAAACAAUGCUGCACUUUGACCCAGUGAUUGAUCUGUUUGCUUUGCCUAAUGCCAUUGCUAUCACACGAGUGAAAAGAAUGAUGUAAAAAGAGGGCCUAAUUCACUUGAGACUCAGUGGGUCACUUUCGCCGGUGCUUGGUGCACUGCAUGGUUCUUAAUCGAUCGGUUUCUUUGGUUACCUUUUCAAAUCCUUACACCACCCGCAUUUGCGUUCCUGCGGACUGAAAUCUUGUUCCACCGACUGAAAUCCUUAUCCUUAGGUCUUGUUCAGUUGGCAAAAUUUUAGGAUUUUGAGUAAUGGAACACUUUCGUUUGUAUUUGACAAAUAUUGUUCAAUCAUGAACUAACUAGUCUUAAAAGAUUCGUCUCACAAAUUACAGGUAAACUUUAUAAUUAGUUAUUAUUUUUGUCUAUAUUUAAUCCUCCAUACAUAUGUCGCAAGAUUCGAUUGUUUUUUUCUAUAUUUAAUUCUCCAUGCAUAUGUCGCAAGAUUCGAUGUGACGGAAAAUCUAAAAUUUUUGGCAAAACUUUUUGGGAACUAAACAAGGCAUCACAUGAUAAGGUUUGUUUGCACGAGAAAACGAACUAAAACUAGAACAGAAAACACACAAAUUGCGCUGGACCCAUUUUUUUUUGACAAUGCAUACCGCAAGCUUUAUUAAUGAAGAACAGUCACAUCAUUUAGCAUAAACUCAAAAAUAAAUCUCACGGGCUCAUCGUCUCAAAUACAAUCACACAUCUUGUGCAUUGCAGAAGCCAGAAGGGUGAGCCAGCUAUAGGAUUCAGUUCAUUUGUAGUCACCACAAAGUUUUCAGUUCAUCUGUAGUCAGUAGAACCUCAAUAGGGACAGUAGAGAAGAUAUCAAUAUACGAUUUGAAAUCUCCAAAUUAAGUUGAGACGGUAUGCAUGUCAAAGCGGAGGGGUUGAUAGUUUGCACAUACAUGACGGGGAUCAAUUCAGGAGAUAUCUGCAUAGUGAUGACAAAAACGCUGAUGAAUUUGAGUUGGUGUAUGGAAUUCAUGUAGCUCUCUGCCUAAUCCCAAAGAGCCCCAGGGAGAAAUAACAGAAGAAAACAUGAGAUUUCCGGUGCAUUUUUCAAGAUUGUCAUGUUUUAUAAUUGGAGACAUUUCAGUAGGAAAACACACACAGAGAGAAGCGAAAAACAAGGGGGAAAAUAGUACAUAGAGCUAAAAGCACCAGAAAAGUAAAAAAAGAGUAAAAAAUCAAUAGCAUAUACAGUCAUUAGAGCAAAGACCUUCAUCACUUAGAAAUUGGUCAAAAGUAUAUAGGCUUGCCAUUUAGUGCAAGACCCAUAAUAUGUAUGUAAAUUCCACAUCUGAACCAUAAGGCAAGAAUCUACCUAGAAGGACAUGCAUGUUCAAGCAGAGGGGGCUCAAGAUAUUUUGGACACACAAGUAGGGGACCCAUACAUAAGCACUGAUGAAUUUAAGAUGGUGUAUAGUUUUGGAAAGCAUGUACCUCUGUCUAGUCCCCAGAAGAUCUAGGAAGGAGAAAAAAAAUAGAAGAAAACAAGCUAUUUCCGGUCCCAUUUUUCAAGCUUGCGAUAUUUUAUUAUAGGCGAUAGUUUCCCAAUAUGUAAGAACUUAAUCUAGCUUUGUCCAUGUAAGUGGGUGGUGCGCACUCGACACUGACACACAGCAGUACAGACAUAGGGCUUAAAGCAGAUAUUUUACAGAGAAAUCAUACCCUUAAGCCAGGAAAGAGUAAAAAUCAAUAGCAUAUGUAGUCAAUAGAGCAAAAGCCCGCUUCACUUAAAAUUAAUCAAACAUAUAGGCUUGCAAUUUAGUCCAUCUGAAGGAAGCCUAUGAUGUGCACAUAAAUUCCACAUGAACCAUUAGGUGAGAUGCCAUAUAGAAGGCGUGGGAUAACAAAAACACUAAUCAACUUUGGUGAGUUUAAUGUUGUUCUUCGACAGAUUCACUGAAAUGUGCAGCAAAAGCCGCAUAAGGUGGGGUCCAUAGCCAUCAUUAUAUAUGAUUUCAAACUUGAGGUUCUCACACAGCAAAUCCAGUCCACGGAGCUCAGAAGAUGCGAUCUCGUUGCGUAUGGGCAUAUGUCUCUUUUUAGGACAUUUUGGGAACUGUAGCCAACAUAAAAGAUGUAAGACAAUGCACUAUGUUCAUUAAUUAAUUUUUAAAAACCAAACAACAGUAUACCUUGCAGCACCGCAAAGUGAUUUUCUCAAGAAUAGGAGAACUCCGAAGAAAGAAUACCAAUGUCCUGAAGUUAUCACUGAGAUCACAGUCGUCCAGCAAUAAGUUCCUCAGGUUCUUGAAUUCUUGGAAUCUGGGUUCCUUACCUAGCACCUGUAGUAAAUUAGAUAGUACCAUAACAUUAUUAGAGUGAAUAAAAUGGAACAUUGUAAGAGACGGCAAUGGCAUACCCUUGUCCCGACACCCGAUAAUUCCAAAUUUGUCGAGUUAGAUAUGCUACAAAGAAGCUUGAAUUGAUCGCCAUCAAGUUUACUUCUGGCAUGAUUAUAUUUGUGGUCCAGUAGAUGAAUAAAAGCCUUUCCAAGGGAUGGCACUUCGUUUAAUGAAAAACCACCACAAAAUCUAUAAACAUUCACAGCCAGAUGCAGAUAUGCAAGAGCAGGGACCAAGAUAACAAGCGCACAGGCAGCAGUAUUUAAGCCACCAUCAAAAACCAACGUUUUCAGUGUGGGAGAUAUAAUCUCACAAAGACGGUGGCAUCGACAUUUUCUCAGAACCAGGGUCUUCAGCGAGUUGGAGGUGAUUGACUGAAUUCGACAACUGCAAUCGUCCAGCUCCAAUUCCUCCAAAGAGCAGCACACUGAACUAACACGCUUCACAAAAUGAUCAUCAAGAAGUACAUGGCAGAGAUGCAGCCUUUUGAGGCACCAAGAACCAGAGGUCAGUCCCAGCUUACUGGCACGAUCAGGCGUGCAGUAUUUCAUGGCACGACGGAGCCAUCCUGCUGCCAGUCUAUUGCCAAACACCGGUGCUCUGCUUCUAACAAUAUUCAGCCGGAAUGAAUCCAAUUGUGCAAUGUUACAGCGGUGCAUCAGGGUCACAGCAAAAUCCUCAAAAUCCUCCCAGUCCUUGUACUUGAUGAAAUGAUGCAGUUGCUCUCUGUCACUGUCACUGUCACUGUCACUGUCAGAAUCAGAGGUAUCAAUGUCGGAGCAAGAACUUUCAUCGCUACUGGAGAGGCAGAUGCGCUUGACACCAGAAGGGGACGCCUUGUUGAACUCAUCAAAGUCAAUGUCAAGGCAUGGCACCGAGCGCCAGAGGUGCCUCCACCGUGUGGACAGCAGGCAUGUCUGAACCGCCUGCCGGGCUUUCAAGAAGGACAUGAUGAUAUGAAGGAGGCUGUCUGGCAGAGAGCUCAACCGGUCUGGGCCGCCAGCC